RNAcentral lists this long non-coding RNA (218 nucleotides) under Mytilus galloprovincialis (Mediterranean mussel). The record is from RNAcentral. Lineage: Eukaryota; Metazoa; Mollusca; Bivalvia; Mytilida; Mytilidae.
UCGGGGCCUUUUAUAGCUGACUAUGCGGUAUGGGCUUUGCUCAUUGUUGAAGGCCUUACGGUUACCUAUAGUUGUUAAUGUUUGUAUCAUUUUGGUCUUUUCUGGAUAGUUGUCUCAUUGGCAAUAAUACCACAUCUUCUUUUUUAUAUAUUAUAGUAUCUAUAAGUUGGAUGUAGAAAAUGCAUAACCUCCGAAUUUUUUUUUUAUCACGGACGGAG